Molecule: long non-coding RNA, 1421 nt
Organism: Zingiber officinale
Lineage: Eukaryota; Viridiplantae; Streptophyta; Magnoliopsida; Zingiberales; Zingiberaceae
Exons: 3
Source: RefSeq, a predicted model, not a curated record
CUCACACACAACUGCGCCGCCACCGUACUCCAAACCCUAUUUCCCAUUCCGAUCGCCCCUAUUCAUCUCAUCCCUGCUCUUCCAUCGACAUAAAUCUGAGCGAGGAUCCAAAAAGAAACCGUCGGUCUUUUCUUUCGCCCUGCAAAUUGCUCCCCAUCCCUUGUCCUCUUCCGGAAACUACAACGUGCGACGCCGUAGGAAUCGGCCUUCCGUAGCGUACACCUCACCGCAGAUCUGCGCCAGCUGGGAUUCUGAAUCAACGUCUUCUGCCAACUUCUGGGUCAUCUCCUUCGUCCACCCCGGAGUCAGGUCGCAGCGCCUCUAACACCGAUCUCUCUUCCUCUAUCGAUCUGCGUCUUUUCUAUUUCCCCAACGUCUCUCCUCUCAUUAUCACUGCCGUUUAUUCGACUUUCUUGGCUUCUAGAUUUUUUUUUCUCUCGUUCUUUCGUGGCACAUUUGGACCCUGUUUUAUUACAGUAAUAUCUACAAUUCAUGAAGGCUUAGUUUUCUUGCAUCGGCUCCCUGGUGCUGGCUCAAAAUCUUUUUCCCAGCCAACAGCAGCAAUUUUUUAUUUUUGGUGGUAUUCGUUCUGUAAAUUUGCAGUACUUUUUUUUUUUAAUCUUCGAUACUGCUGUUGGAGACUGAAGUUGAAGGUUGAUUUUUGCAGGUAGCAAACUUUAUCGUGGAGUGAGAUGAUCGAGCUUGGCCGAAGGAAUGAGGAUAAGUCGUGCAUGAUUUGGCUUACUCAUGAAACUUCAGGAUGAAGAAAAAACAUUCCGGUCUUUUUACAUUUGGCAUGGGAGGAAUUGGAAAGAUUUUGCUGGGACAAAUACGAUGAGCUCGAGAUAGCACAUAGAAGUUCAUGUGCUAGUGAGGAAACUGAGUCAUCUAUCGGUAAUAAUUUGGAUUUAUGGUUGAAGGCUAGUGGGGGGCAGAAAGGGGGAAGGAUAUUGGGAAUGAGUUCUUUAAGCAAAAAUCAUAGAGUUUCCCGUAAAUCAUUUUCCACCCCAAUAACAGUUACGACUCAGAUCAAUUCCUUGACUGAAGAGGUUUCACAUUUAAAGGGCAUAAUAUUAGAAAGAGAUGAAGAAAGAAGAGUUAGAGAUGUAGAAAUGAGAGCUAGCCAGGAAGAAAUGAGAGCUCUGCGUCAACAACAAAAUGAAAAUCAAUGUUGAAGAAGAAGAUGGAGAAGAUUUAGUCAUGUUUGGAAUUUUUUUGAAAUAUGGAUGGUUUAAAACUUCUUAUGAUUUGGAUUGUAUAGAUUUUAGAUCUUUUGUGAUGUUUGUAUUUUGAUGUAUUAUAUGUUUGGCUUGUAAGGGUAUUAGAUCAUGUUUGUAUUUUCAUGUAUCAUAUGUUUGGAUUGUAAGGAUAUUAGAUGAUGUUUGCAUUUUAAUGUAUGGAAUGUUUGGAUUUUAUGGAUA